Long non-coding RNA from Herpailurus yagouaroundi (jaguarundi), 1181 nucleotides. RefSeq lists it as uncharacterized. NCBI's taxonomy places the organism in Eukaryota, Metazoa, Chordata, Mammalia, Carnivora, Felidae. The record is from RefSeq and is a predicted model, not a curated record. The transcript is spliced from 2 exons.
AACUCAGGAACCGCGAGAUCAUGACCUGAGCCGAAGUCGGAUGCUUCACCGACUGAGCCACCCAGGCACCCCUGUUAGGUACAUGUUAUGAUUUUUAUGUUACUGAAUCUUUGAAACAGGCUUGAAGGUAAAUAUUAUUAAUCUCUACGUUGUAGAUGAAGAACUGAGCUCAGACAGGCUAAGUCACUUGUUCAAGGUGACACAGAAAGUGUGUAGUGGAGCGAGGACAGAAAUCCAGAUCUGUCUGAUUGCAGAGCCCAUACCAGAUCCUCAUGCUGCUUUCCUCCUGCAGUGAAAGCCAUUGUCUUCCCUUCCUUAAAUAAGGAUCUGAAAACAAAGGCCAGAGAGAAUCCCCAUUUCUACUUCUCUUUUUUUUUCAUCUGAAAGCAUGUGAGCAAACAGGAAGGAGGAGGGAAAGUUCUGACUCACCCCCCACCCCCCGUACCAUUUUUCUAGACUUUAAAAAGUGUAUGACAUAUAUUAUUAUCUUUUCAGGCAGUAUUUUUUCCAUAUUGGCUAUAAGUUCCGUUAGAACCCUAUUUGCCUUUUCUUGUACAGCUUUUAUGUUACUAACUUGUGUCUCAAACUGUUUUUUUCCCUGUUUACAAUAUUCAGGAACUGGGGGACAGAUUUCAGAAUUUGCAGAAUCUAGGAUUUGUCCCCUUUGGAGUUUGCUUCACUGGCUAGAGGUGUGUUUUCUUCAUGAGAAGACAUCGCUAACCUCCGUCACAGCCCCGUGAUUCUGACGCCUGGAAGUACCUUUUACUCAGCCACAAAGUACAGAUUCCCAGGCUUUACCCAGACCUUCUGAAUCAGAACCUCUGGGGCUGGAGCUCGGGAAUGGACAUUGUCAUAAAAUGUUGGGAGAUUUUGAUGCAGCCAGCAGACAUUGGCCCCUGGGCAGACCACUGGCCUGGUCCAGCUGAGAGCCUGCCGUGGAGUCUCUGCUCCCGCCUGCCUGAGGUCACGUGGUCGCCCACUGUGUUUGCAGGCUCCUUUCCCAGCUCUGCCAUUCACAGCCAGAGAGCUUUUAUUUGAGUAGUGGAGCUAACCCCCCUCCCCCACCUGCACACACGCACACACACGUAAAAUGAGAACAUGUCCAUCUGGGGGCCGAAUGGGGUUGUGAGGAAUGAUGAGAUGACAAAAUAUACAGCGCCUGGCGUGUGGUCAACCCUGAA